This 29-nucleotide non-coding RNA is filed under the name Rattus norvegicus (Norway rat). The record is from RNAcentral. Lineage: Eukaryota; Metazoa; Chordata; Mammalia; Rodentia; Muridae.
UGGCAAGAGACUACCUAAGUAGAAAAUAC